RNAcentral lists this ribosomal RNA (1347 nucleotides) under Cylindrotheca closterium. RNAcentral's name for it is "partial Bacterial large subunit ribosomal RNA". It matches the Rfam family "Bacterial large subunit ribosomal RNA", at positions 23 to 1387 of the family's 2925-position model. Lineage: Eukaryota; Bacillariophyta; Bacillariophyceae; Bacillariales; Bacillariaceae. The record is from RNAcentral.
GGCGGAUGCCUUGGCUUCUAGAGGCGAUGAAGGACGUGAUAAGCUGCGAAAAGCUGCGGGGAUUGGCACAUACGAUGUGAUCCGCAGAUAUCCGAAUGGGGCAACCCGGCAGGUUGAAGACCUGUCACUCGUAAGAGAGCAAACCCAGGGAACUGAAACAUCUAAGUACCUGGAGGAAGAGAAAACAAUUAGUGAUUCCCAGAGUAGUGGCGAACGAAAUGGGAACAGCCCAAACCGUUUUUGUUUCGGCAAAAGCGGGGUUGUAGGACCACGACAUAGUUUGCAUAUUUAAAUGGAAUAGUCUGGAAAGUCUAACCAUAGAGAGUGAAAGUCUCGUACAUGUACAAAUAUGUUAAACUUAGUGGUAUCCUGAGUAGCGCGGGACAUGUGAAAUCCUGUGUGAAUCAACCAGAACCAUCUGGUAAGGCUAAAUACUCCUAGAAGACCGAUAGCGAACAAGUACUGUGAAGGAAAGGUGAAAAGUACUCUGAAUAAGAGAGUGAAAUAGUUCCUGAAACCGUAUGCCUACAAGCUGUAGGAGCCAUAUUUAUAUGGUGACUGCGUGCCUUUUGCAUAAUGAUCCUACGAGUUACUCCUCACUAGCAAGAUUAAGGUAUUCAGUACCGUAGUCGAAGCGAAAGCAAGUCUGAAUAGGGCGUUUAGUUAGUGGGGGUAGACGCGAAACCCGGUGAUCUACCCAUGGUCAGGUUGAAGCUCUGGUAACACAGAGUGGAGGACCGAACCCAUAUACGUUGAAAAGUGUUGGGAUGAACUGUGGGUAGGGGUGAAAGGCUAAUCAAACUGGGAAAUAGCUCGUUCUCCCCGAAAUGCAUUUAGGUGCAGCCUCGGAGUAGAGUGUUAUAGAGGUAGAGCUACUGGUUGGAUGCGGGGGCUUCAUCGCCUACCAAAUCCUGUCAAACUCCGAAUGCUAUAACAUAUAUCCGGGAGUGAGGGCUGGGGUGCUAAGGUCACAGUCCGAGAGGGAAACAACCCAGACCAUCUGCUAAGGUCCCCAAAUGUAUACUAAGUUGAUCAAACGUGGUCAGACUGCUUUGACAGCUAGGAUGUUGGCUUGGAAGCAGCCAUUCAUUUAAAGAGUGCGUAACAGCUCACUAGUCGAGCGGUCAGGCGUGGAUAAUAAUCGGGCAUAAGUAUACUACCGAAGCAAUGGCAAUAUUUAUAUUGGGUAGGGGAGCAUUCUAGUCUGCGUUGAAGGUGUGUCGUGAGGCAUUCUGGAGCGUCUAGAAAAGAAAAUGUAGGAAUAAGUAACGAUAAAGGGGGCGAGAAACCCCCUCACCGAAAGCCCAAGGUUUCCUCAGCUAUGCUAAUCAGCUGAGGGUUAGUCGG